RNAcentral lists this ribosomal RNA (745 nucleotides) under cyanobacterium AUcy2. RNAcentral's name for it is "bacterial SSU rRNA". It matches the Rfam family "Bacterial small subunit ribosomal RNA", at positions 56 to 841 of the family's 1533-position model. The record is from RNAcentral. Lineage: Bacteria; Bacillati; Cyanobacteriota.
UGCAGUCGAACGGAGUUCCUUCGGGGACUUAGUGGCGGACGGGUGAGUAACACGUGAGAACCUACCUUCAGAAUGGGGACAACAGUUGGAAACGACUGCUAAUACCCAAUGUGCCGAAAGGUGAAAGAUUUAUCGUCUGAAGAUGGGCUCGCGUCUGAUUAGCUAGAUGGUGGAGUAAGAGCCUACCAUGGCAACGAUCAGUAGCUGGUCUGAGAGGAUGAGCAGCCACACUGGGACUGAGACACGGCCCAGACUCCUACGGGAGGCAGCAGUGGGGAAUUUUCCGCAAUGGGCGCAAGCCUGACGGAGCAAUACCGCGUGAGGGAGGAAGGUCCUUGGAUUGUAAACCUCUUUUAUCAGGGAAGAAAAAAAUGACGGUACCUGAUGAAUAAGCAUCGGCUAACUCCGUGCCAGCAGCCGCGGUAAUACGGAGGAUGCAAGCGUUAUCCGGAAUUAUUGGGCGUAAAGCGUCCGUAGGUGGUCAUGCAAGUCUGCCGUUAAAGAAUGGAGCUUAACUCCAUAGGAGCGGUGGAAACUGCAAGACUAGAGUACAGUAGGGGUAGCAGGAAUUCCCAGUGUAGCGGUGAAAUGCGUAGAUAUUGGGAAGAACAUCGGUGGCGAAAGCGUGCUACUGGGCUGAAACUGACACUGAGGGACGAAAGCUAGGGUAGCGAAAGGGAUUAGAUACCCCUGUAGUCCUAGCCGUAAACGAUGGAUACUAGGCGUGGCUUGUAUCGACCCGAGC